GUAAACCACAUACUUGAAAUAGUAAUUGAGGCAAACAAUAUUGUUAGUGUUCCCAGAAAGGUGAUAUUUUUGAAUAGCUUUGCAUAUUUAACAAGGAAGAUGUGUUUUGAGCAWUUUUUAAUAAAGUAGUGUUUUACUUUUCCCAUUUCACCUUUGCAGGAAACUACAAAUAUCAGUUCUGGAUUGAGAUUCCAUCCCCAAUCUUGGAUCUUUUAACAUCCCAGAGGGCAGACAUGAAAAAGAGAAAUCCCUCUACUUACGCUGUGAAUAGGUGCUAACAGCUUUAAAGAAUUACCUACCAAAUAUUAGGUGCAAUUUAAAACUACAUUUAAAGGAGCAAGGGCAGUUUAAAAGUCUACCUGGCCAGUUAAAAGUCAGAGAGAGAAAAUUACUUGAACAUGUGUUCUCCGAAUUUUGGGUUGUGUGGGAGAUAUUGCGCUGGUGGAAUAAUAUAGCCUCUGCUUUAAAAAAAUUAGGCAGAUUCUGUAUCUCAUCCACUGUAUGCCAUGCAGUUCGUAGUCACGGGAGAGGGGGCAACAAGGAUUUCGGCUUUGGUCCUUUUCGCAUGGGAUGGAGACUCCAUGUGUGCACAGCACUUCCCUUCGGGGAACGACGGUCCACCACCUCGCUGAGGAAGAACUCCUAACUGCCUCGAGAGUCAGAGAGUCCAAACCAUAACUGGGAAUAAAGGUUUAUUUUGGAUCUCA
Dromaius novaehollandiae (emu) is the source of this 707-nucleotide long non-coding RNA. The record is from Ensembl. Lineage: Eukaryota; Metazoa; Chordata; Aves; Casuariiformes; Dromaiidae.